UGAAAUUGGGGCGUUUCCAAUACUGGGGGGUGUUUCAUAAAGCUUUUGACUUACGACUAUAACAAAUCUGGUAUCUAUGACAAAUCUGAUUACGACUAUCGUAGCUUGUUAUUGAAGUAAAAAUCCGUUUCAUAAAACUAAUAACAAAGUGAUCGUUUAAAAAACGAUCAUUACGAUUAUGCGCGUGCGCAAUAGCUCCAUUGUGCUUUGCCGUCGUCUGCAAUCACCGUGACAAUGAACCCAACUUUGGUGCUUGAAAUGUUUUUUUUCAUAGAAAUCCCGAAAAUGUACAGAGAGACUUGUCGCAGUACCAAAUGCUUGCCUCCUCUGAGUAUGUGCUUGAAACAAGAAUUUCCUGGAGAAAACAGACCGUCACAAGAGAAGGAAUUGAGAAGGAGGGCUUCCUGUCAAGAGAUCAUGGGGUGCCUUGAGGUUCCAGCCUUGAAUUUCUGCUCUUUACCUCUAAGCGAUGGCCUCUUGUAGGAGCAAAGCACAAUGGACUGGUGCCUGUACAUGUUAUGCAGAAGCUCAUGAUGAUAUGGUAGACAAGACAAGGACCUUGCUGUCUAAAGCUCAGAGACCAGAUGACAGUGUCUGAACCAGCUUGUCAGAAUUGGUUACAAAGAUGCAAGUGGACUUGUCUUCAGAAGUAGCUAAAGAGGAGCAGUCAGCCGAAGGAGCACGCAACUCCAAAACAAUGUGGAUACUGGAUACUUCUCUCAAGUUCAUCUGUAAUCAGACAUGGCUCUUCAGGAAUCAAGAUGAGACAGUGGAGGUAGAGGAGUUUGUGACCCUCCUGACUGUGGACUACUUGCAUUAUACAUGUAGCACUACUGCACAAAACUCGACCAGUUAUGCUUGAGCAAAUCGUAACAAACACUUGUUGAAGCAUUGAUUUAUGUAACUGGUAUUAUAGCCAUAUAGGUAGAGUUAAGCUUCUAAAUUUGAUAAGAAACUUUGUCCCAAAAGAACCGCAAGCUGCGAUCCCCC
Long non-coding RNA from Strongylocentrotus purpuratus (purple sea urchin), 990 nucleotides. RefSeq lists it as uncharacterized. NCBI's taxonomy places the organism in Eukaryota, Metazoa, Echinodermata, Echinoidea, Camarodonta, Strongylocentrotidae. The record is from RefSeq and is a predicted model, not a curated record. The transcript is spliced from 5 exons.